CCUACGGGGGGCUGCAGUGGGGAAUAUUGGACAAUGGGGGCAACCCUGAUCCAGCCAUGCCGCGUGUGUGAAGAAGGCCCUCGGGUUGUAAAGCACUUUCAGUGAGGAAGAACGCCUGGUGGUUAAUACCCAUCAGGAAAGACAUCACUCACAGAAGAAGCACCGGCUAACUCCGUGCCAGCAGCCGCGGUAAUACGGAGGGUGCGAGCGUUAAUCGGAAUUACUGGGCGUAAAGCGCGCGUAGGUGGCUUGAUAAGCCGGUUGUGAAAGCCCCGGGCUCAACCUGGGAACGGCAUCCGGAACUGUCAAGCUAGAGUGCAGGAGAGGAAGGUAGAAUUCCCGGUGUAGCGGUGAAAUGCGUAGAGAUCGGGAGGAAUACCAGUGGCGAGGGCGGCCUUCUGGACUGACACUGACACUGAGGUGCGAAAGCGUGGGUAGCAAACAGGAUUAGAUACCCCUGUAGUC
RNAcentral lists this ribosomal RNA (465 nucleotides) under Vreelandella stevensii. RNAcentral's name for it is "partial 16S ribosomal RNA". It matches the Rfam family "Bacterial small subunit ribosomal RNA", at positions 338 to 795 of the family's 1533-position model. The record is from RNAcentral. Lineage: Bacteria; Pseudomonadati; Pseudomonadota; Gammaproteobacteria; Oceanospirillales; Halomonadaceae.